Molecule: long non-coding RNA, 364 nt
Organism: Danio aesculapii
Lineage: Eukaryota; Metazoa; Chordata; Actinopteri; Cypriniformes; Danionidae
Exons: 3
Source: RefSeq, a predicted model, not a curated record
AUUCUCCGUCGGGUGAGGAGUGGUCUGCGUGGAGCGUGUGUUCGGCCACGUGUGGUGAGGGCUGGCAGAGCCGCACACGCUUCUGCGUCUCCGUGUCGUACAGCACGCAGUGCAGUGGGCCACUGCGCGAACAGAGACCCUGCAAUAACACUGCUGUGUGUCCAGAACAUGGGGCGUGGGGCGAGUGGACUCCAUGGAGCUUGUGUUCAUCAACAUGCGGCCGUGGCUACAGGGAACGCAACCGCUCCUGCAAGCCACCCCAGUUUGGAGGAAACCCCUGUGAUGGUCCUGAGAAACAGACAAAAUUCUGCAACAUCGCUGUAUGCCCAGUGGAUGGCGUGUGGAACGAGUGGUCCAGUUGGAG